This is a small nuclear RNA of Perognathus longimembris pacificus (Pacific pocket mouse), 105 nucleotides long. The record is from RefSeq and is a predicted model, not a curated record. NCBI's taxonomy places the organism in Eukaryota, Metazoa, Chordata, Mammalia, Rodentia, Heteromyidae.
AUUGCUUGCUUCAAUAGCACUAUAUACUAAAAUUGGAAUGAUACAGAGAUGAGUGUGGCCCCUGUGCAAGGAGACACACAAAUUCAUGAAGCAUCCCAUAUUUUU